CCUACAGGAGGCAGCAGUGGGGAAUAUUGGACAAUGGGGGCAACCCUGAUCCAGCCAUGCCGCGUGUGUGAAGAAGGCCCUCGGGUUGUAAAGCACUUUCAGUGAGGAAGAACGCCUGGUGGUUAAUACCCAUCAGGAAAGACAUCACUCACAGAAGAAGCACCGGCUAACUCCGUGCCAGCAGCCGCGGUAAUACGGAGGGUGCGAGCGUUAAUCGGAAUUACUGGGCGUAAAGCGCGCGUAGGUGGCUUGAUAAGCCGGUUGUGAAAGCCCCGGGCUCAACCUGGGAACGGCAUCCGGAACUGUCAAGCUAGAGUGCAGGAGAGGAAGGUAGAAUUCCCGGUGUAGCGGUGAAAUGCGUAGAGAUCGGGAGGAAUACCAGUGGCGAAGGCGGCCUUCUGGACUGACACUGACACUGAGGUGCGAAAGCGUGGGUAGCAAACAGGAUUAGAUACCCUUGUAGUC
RNAcentral lists this ribosomal RNA (465 nucleotides) under Vreelandella stevensii. Its description in RNAcentral is "partial 16S ribosomal RNA". It matches the Rfam family "Bacterial small subunit ribosomal RNA", at positions 338 to 795 of the family's 1533-position model. The record is from RNAcentral. Lineage: Bacteria; Pseudomonadati; Pseudomonadota; Gammaproteobacteria; Oceanospirillales; Halomonadaceae.